Molecule: ribosomal RNA, 380 nt
Filed under: uncultured eukaryote
Lineage: Eukaryota
Description: partial 18S ribosomal RNA
Rfam family: Eukaryotic small subunit ribosomal RNA
Source: RNAcentral
CAAUAGCGUAUAUUAAAGUUGUUGCGGUUAAAAAGCUCGUAGUUGGAUUUCUGCCGAGGACGACCGGUCCGCCCUCUGGGUGUGUAUCUGGUUUGGCCUGGGCAUCUUCUUGGAGAACGUAGCUGCACUUGACUGUGUGGUGCGGUGUCCAGGACUUUUACUUUGAGGAAAUUAGAGUGUUUCAAGCAGGCACACGCCUUGAAUACAUUAGCAUGGAAUAAUAAGAUAGGACCUCGGUUCUAUUUUGUUGGUUUCUAGAGCUGAGGUAAUGAUUAAUAGGGAUAGUUGGGGGCAUUCGUAUUUAACUGUCAGAGGUGAAAUUCUCGGAUUUGUUAAAGACGGACUACUGCGAAAGCAUUUGCCAAGGAUGUUUUCAUUGA